This 293-nucleotide ribosomal RNA is filed under the name uncultured bacterium. RNAcentral's name for it is "partial 16S ribosomal RNA". It matches the Rfam family "Bacterial small subunit ribosomal RNA", at positions 505 to 796 of the family's 1533-position model. The record is from RNAcentral.
GUGUCAGCCGCCGCGGUAAUACGGAGGGGGCGAGCGUUGUUCGGAAUUACUGGGUGUAAAGGGUGCGUAGGCGGCUCGUUAAGUCUGAUGUGAAAGCCCUGGGCUCAACUCAGGAAUGGCAUUGGAAACUGGCGGGCUCUGAGUAUCGGAGAGGGAAGCGGAAUUCCUGGUGUAGCGGUGAAAUGCGUAGAUACCAGGAGGAACACCGGUGGCGAAGGCGGCUUCCUGGCCGAAUACUGACGCUGAGGCACGAAAGCGUGGGGAGCAAACGGGAUUAGAUACCCCCGUAGUCC